GACGAACGCUGGCGGCGUGCUUCAUACAUGCCAGUCGAACGAGAAGCUGACUUCGGUCAGUGGAAAGUGGCGGACGGGUGAGUAAUAUGUAGGAAAUCUGCCUUUAGGAGGGGGACAACAGAGGGAAACUUCUGCUAAUACCCCAUAUGAGCGUAGCUGAAAUGCUAUUCUUGAAAACUCCGGUGCCUAAAGAUGAGCCUGCAUCUGAUUAGCUAGUUGGUAGUGUAAUGGACUACCAAGGCGACGAUCAGUAGCUGGUUUGAGAGGAUGAUCAGCCAAAAUGGGAAGGAGACCCGGCCCAUACCCCUGCGGGAGGGGGCAGAAGGGAAUUUUGGGAAAGGGGCGAAGGCCUGAGGCAGCAACGCCGGGGGAAGGAAUAAGCCUUUGGGGGUAGAAAGUUCUGCGAGGGGGGACAAAACUGGACGGUACCAAAAGAGGAAGCCCCGGCUAACUCCGUG
Molecule: ribosomal RNA, 458 nt
Filed under: uncultured bacterium
Lineage: Bacteria
Description: partial 16S ribosomal RNA
Rfam family: Bacterial small subunit ribosomal RNA
Source: RNAcentral